UAUUUGUAUCCCCAGUUAGAGGGCUUAAAGUAUCUUGUUUAGAGAGACAAAGCUGGUAGCUGAUUUCUAAUUCAAGCCCACAUUGCAUUGCUGGAGUUCAGGCUAGGAGGUAGAGGAGUGGGGAAAGAAGAGAUCAUAGAGAGUUUCAGACAGCAAAGAAAACAUCACAUUUUCUCAAAUGUAAGAACUAAAACAAGCAAGCAAGGAGGUGUCAACUUAGUAAAGGAAACCAGGGUGAGGCCAGCAGGGGUCCGACCACCACCUUUGGAGUCUUGCAGGUACAAAUCCUCAGUAGAACAGAACAGAGACCUCAGAAAUAACACCACACAUCUACAACCAUCUGAUCUUUGACAAAACUGACAAAAACAAGCAAUGGGGAAAGGAUCCCCUCUUUAAUAAAU
Molecule: long non-coding RNA, 401 nt
Filed under: Pan paniscus (pygmy chimpanzee)
Lineage: Eukaryota; Metazoa; Chordata; Mammalia; Primates; Hominidae
Description: lncRNA (ENSPPAG00000045033.1)
Source: RNAcentral